GAAUGCGGAGGUCAAAGUCCGUCUAAAUGGCGUGGCUCGACGGCCGCUUCCUAACUUUGGGUAAUGGCCCUCUUCCUUCACGGGUUGGGGUGUCUGUUCCCAAUCAUUUACUUUGAAAAAAUUAGAGUGUUCAAAGCAGGCGUAACCUGGCCAUUGAAUAUUUAUAGCAUGGGAUAAUAGAAUAUGACAUCGGUCUUAUUUUGUUGGUUUCUAAGGCUGACGUA
This 224-nucleotide ribosomal RNA is filed under the name uncultured fungus. RNAcentral describes it as "partial small subunit ribosomal RNA". The stretch from base 103 to 224 matches the Rfam family "Eukaryotic small subunit ribosomal RNA", at positions 747 to 864 of the family's 1831-position model. The record is from RNAcentral. Lineage: Eukaryota; Fungi.